Molecule: ribosomal RNA, 424 nt
Filed under: Leptodactylus fuscus group sp. ABGD cluster 22
Lineage: Eukaryota; Metazoa; Chordata; Amphibia; Anura; Leptodactylidae
Description: partial large subunit ribosomal RNA
Rfam family: Bacterial large subunit ribosomal RNA
Source: RNAcentral
CUUGAAACCUAUGAGAGGUCCAGCCUGCCCAGUGACUCUGUUCAACGGCCGCGGUAUCCUAACCGUGCGAAGGUAGCGUAAUCACUUGUUCUUUAAAUGAGGACUAGUAUGAAUGGCACCACGAAGGUUAUACUGUCUCCUUUUUCUAAUCAGUGAAACUAAUCUUCCCGUGAAGAAGCGGGAAUAAAAAUAUAAGACGAGAAGACCCUAUGGAGCUUUAAACAAACAUACAAUUGCCUUAUCUCAUAAAAAUUCCAGAAAAAACACUUCUAUUCAGGCACUUUGAUAUAAAGUUUUAGGUUGGGGUGACCACGGAGUAAAAAACAACCUCCGCAGUGAAAGGGGCUUUUCCCCUAAGCCAAGGGCCACGACCCUAAGAAUCAAUAAAUUGACACUAAUUGACCCAAUUAAUUGAUCAAUGAAC